AUACGGAGGGUGCAAGCGUUACUCGGAAUCACUGGGCGUAAAGCGCGCGCAGGCGGUCUUUUAAGUUGGAUGUGAAAGCCUACGGCUCAACCGUAGAACUGCAUCCAAAACUAUUAGACUAGAGUGUGGGAGAGGAAGAUGGAAUUAGUUGUGUAGGGGUAAAAUCCGUAGAGAUAACUAGGAAUACCAAAAGCGAAGGCAAUCUUCUGGAACACUACUGACGCUGAGGCGCGAAAGCGUGGGGAGCAAACGGGAUUAGAAACCCCGUAGUCC
RNAcentral lists this ribosomal RNA (273 nucleotides) under uncultured bacterium. RNAcentral describes it as "partial 16S ribosomal RNA". It matches the Rfam family "Bacterial small subunit ribosomal RNA", at positions 523 to 796 of the family's 1533-position model. The record is from RNAcentral.